UACAGAGGGUGCGAGCGUUGUUCGGAAUUAUUGGGCGUAAAGGGUGCGUAGGCGGGUCUUUAAGUCAGGGGUGAAAUCCUGGAGCUCAACUCCAGAACUGCCUUUGAUACUGAAGAUCUUGAGUUCGGGAGAGGUGAGUGGAACUGCGAGUGUAGAGGUGAAAUUCGUAGAUAUUCGCAGGAACACCAGUGGCGAAGGCGGCUUACUGGUCCAUAACUGACGCUGAGGUGCGGAGAGCGUGGGGAGCGAACCGGG
This 255-nucleotide ribosomal RNA is filed under the name uncultured bacterium. RNAcentral's name for it is "partial 16S ribosomal RNA". It matches the Rfam family "Bacterial small subunit ribosomal RNA", at positions 524 to 777 of the family's 1533-position model. The record is from RNAcentral.